UAGCGUGUGGUUCUCCUAUCGCAAUCGGUAACAACGGUCAGACAGUGGCGGAUAUGGAUUCCGGCGACGGCAAACGGACCACAGGUUGCCACGUGGUGGCCAUGCCUUACCCAGGUAGAGGCCACGUCAACCCCAUGAUGAACCUCUGCAAGUUACUAGCUUCAAGACAAGAUGAUAUCCUCAUCACCUUCGUUCUCACUGAAGAAUGGCUCGAUUUGAUCAGCUCCGAGGAUAAGCCGGAAAACGUACGCUUCGCAACGAUCCCCAAUGUGAUUCCUUCGGAGCAAGUUCGCGCGGCGGACUUCCCCGGCUUCGUCGAAGAUGUCUCGACGAAAAUGGAAGCUCCUUUCGAGCAGCUCCUGGAUCGGCUUGAGCCGCCAGUUACUGCUCUCAUAGCUGAUACUCAUGUAAUGUGCGCCUUCGUCGUCGGGAACCGGAGGAAUAUCCCAGCGGCGUCGUUGUGGCCGAUGUCGGCGACGAUGUUUUCGGUGUUCCACCAUUUUGAUCUGCUCAUUCAAAACCAACAUUACCCAGUUGAUUUGUCAGUUAUUACAAAACGAGAAGGUCUCAAAUCUCAAAUCUCGUUAUAUAGAUUCUCCAUUUACUGAUGAACAAGUGUGGAUGUGACAGAAAGGGGCGAGGAGCGAGUGGGCUACAUUCCUGGAAUUUCUUCAACGCGCAUAUCUGAUCUUCCGACAGUCUUCUCCGGCGACGGCCAGAGAGUCUUGAAUCGGAUUCUGGAAAUGUGCUCUUGGGUGCCUAAAGCGCAGUAUCUUGUGUUCACUUCUGUGUACGAGCUUGAACACGAGGCGUUGGAUGCUUUGAAGCGAAAGUUUUCGUUUCCCGUCUACACACUUGGUCCUACUAUACCUUACUUCAAUCUGGGAGACGAGUCCAAAGUUGCCACCACUCACAGUGACCUUAACUACAUGAAAUGGCUGGAUUCUCAGCCGAAGGCUUCCGUCUUGUACAUCUCACUGGGAAGUUUUCUUUCUGUUUCGAGUGCCCAAAUGGAUGAGAUUGCAGCCGGGUUGCGGAGCAGUGGCGUCCGGUUCUUGUGGGUGGGGCGUGAUAAAGCUUCCCAGUUGCAGGAGGGUUGUGGGGAUGGAGGAUUGGUGGUGCCUUGGUGUGACCAACUGAAGGUGCUGUCCCAUUCUUCUGUAGGGGGGUUUUGGAGUCAUUGCGGGUGGAAUUCAACUCUGGAAGCUGUUUUUGCAGGCGUCCCAAUGCUGACAUUUCCUAUAUUUUGGGACCAAGUCCCCAACAGUAAGAAAAUUGUGGAGGAUUGGAAGAUUGGGUGGAGAGUGAAGAGGGAGGUGGGAUGGCAAAAUUUGGUGACCAGAGAAGAGAUUAGUGGGCUUGUGAAGAGGUUUAUGGAUUUGGAAAGCAUUGAGGUGAAAGAGAUGAGGAAAAGAGCAAAAGACCUUGAGGAGGUAUGUAGAGGAGCAAUAGCAAAAGGUGGUUCAACUGAUACUAAUCUUGAUGCCUUUCUCUCGCACAUUUCACAAUCCCGCCGCCGCUGAUCACACAGCUCUGAAUUUGGCCUUCGGAGGUGAAAUUUUGUUUUCACGUUGAAGGCCACACAAAAAUUUGAUUUCUGUGUGGAUUUUCUCUUCGGUUUCCUCUUGGAAUUAAAAUAAAAUUGCCAUGGAUUAUGGAUUAUGGAUUAUCUUGAGGAAUUUUUUUUAUAUUCUAGAAAAAGGGGAAAUAGGCAAACCCCACCUUAGUAGUCUUAACUCUUACGCAAGGGUUUGGAGUCUGGACGACCCAAUUCAAUUGGGGAAAAGCUGACUAUGCAUGCUGUACUCUAUUGGGCCAAGUUGGUUGUCCCAUGUGGCCCCACUGGACUAUUAUUAUAUUGACUGGCAAUAUUUAGUGGCCAUGUGAAUGAAUGUUUUUGUUGUGGGAUAAUUUUUGGGUGUCAUACUGAAAAGUAGUCACCAAUCAUUGUACCUUAGCCUAUAUUCAAAUCUGUACUUGGAUCAUGAAGUUCUGUAUAUCACCUAUUGGGAGCAGAAGCAUUUUCCUUUGGUCCAUGUUACAUCUUUAGCCUGUGAAAAAAUUGACUUUAACCAUACUAAAUUUUGCUUUGUUAUAAUCAUAAAACACAUGAAAACUUGUUGAAAGGAAAACUAUUGGCAGGCCCCAACCCACAUGAAUUGGGCUUUGUUGGACCUGAAUUUCUCAUCUCAUUGUUUUGGUGGUGAUAUCAAGCCCCACGUUUACAAAUUGGCCCCCAACUUGUGGGCUCGGUCUAGCCCAAAGCUAUUACGCUGAUGAGUUAGGGUAUUUCUCAUGUGCUGUAAAGCUCUCUUCUCGUCACUUUAGGCGACAGUCGAACAAAAUAAGCGAUACCAUCUUUUCCAUAAGUUGAGUUUAUUAAUGAGCAACUUGCAAAAAUUUUAAUUUUCAAUUAAAUUAAGAGAAAAUUAAUAUAAAUGAUUAAAUAUAAUUUUCUAAUAAAAAAUAUAUUUUAUUUUUAUUUUAUAUAAAUACAAAAUUAAAAGUUUUAAUAAAGUAAAAUAUUAGAAUCACAACCAAGUUUUUAUAUAUUUUUUAAAUUAAAAAUAUUAAAAAUUUUAAUUUUAAAAAAUUACAAUUACAUUAAAGUAAUCAUAAGUAAAAAGUUUAAAAAUUAGGAUAAUUGAUUUUAAUUUUCACAUGAAAUUUUUUAUAAAAAAUAUAAGCAAUAAAAUAAUAUAAUAAAUAUAUUUUUAUUUAAUUAGUAUAUGAUAAAUAUUUUAUUUAAUAUGAAUAUAUAAAAUCUUAUGUUUUAAAUUUCCAAAAUUAUUUAUUAUAUAUUAAUGUUUAUUUAUUUAUUAUUAUUAUUUUAUAUUUAAAGUGUAUAUUAAUAAUUAAAAUCAAUAAAUAUGAAAAGAUCAAAUGGUAAACGAGAAUAAAUUUUUUUUAAAAUGUAUUAUUUUCUAGGUAAAAUGAAGAAAGAGGAAAAAUAAUGUCACAUGGUUAGUAAUGUGUGAAACAAGUACGUAUGAUGGAGUUUUUUUUUGACUUAUUAUUUUAAGGUUUUAAAAAAAUAAAAACAUAUGGAAUAGUCGGGUAACAGAGAGAAAAGUAGGAGGAGAAUUUUAAAAUUUGAAUGAUGUUAUAUGUUUAUUGAAUUAUUUUGUAAUAAUUCUAUUUUUGGAUAACGUACCGUUACCAUUACAUGAUUCACCCUUUUAAGUUUGGUUGGAGUGCGAAGAACCGUCAUCACCUUCAUUGUUUACUGGACCCACCUUCGGGAUGUGGGCUUUGUUGGGCUAGAUAUCUCAUUCGGUUAUUCAGCCCAACACUCCACACAUUAAGAGACGUGGUGAAACAGCAGUCUGAAAGCUUUUUCGGCUGGUCUGUGCCGCACAAGUAGCCAUCAAAUGAAGGAAUUCUAUCUGAAAUUGAACUGCGUGGAAACUCAGGAAAAAAGGGAAAAAGAAAGAGCCAUCAAGGUGGUGGCUGCGGGGACUUUUCUUAUUUCAGUGUCUUCCACAGAAGAAGCCUGGUAUGGACUCCGGCGACGGCGAAGCAACCACUGCAUGCCACGUGGUGGCCAUGCCAUACCCAGGUAGAGGCCACGUCAACCCCAUGAUGAACCUCUGCAAGCUACUAGCUUCAAAAAAGGACGAUAUCCUCAUCACCUUCGUUCUCACUGAGGAGUGGCUCGGCUUGCUCGGUUCCGGUGAUAAGCCGGAUCAGGUGCGGUUCGAAACGAUCCCUAAUGUGAUCCCUUCGGAGCGAGUUCGCGCAGCUGACUUCCCUGGCUUCAUCGAAGCCGUGUCAACGAAGAUGGAAGCCCCUUUCGAGCAGCUCCUGGAUCGGCUGGAGCCGCAGGUGACUACUAUUAUAGCCGAUAGUAACCUGCUGUGGCUCGUGGGAGUUGGACAGCGGAAGAAUAUUCCGGUAGCGUCGUUGUGGCCGAUGUCGGUGGCGGUGUUUUCGGUGUUCCAUCAUUUUGAUCUCCUUGUUCAAAACCAACACUUCCCAAUUGAUCUGUCGGGUACGUUAGGCGACAUCUGUACUGAACGAAACAUUUCAUAUGAGCCAAAAAAUAAGAUUCUUAAAGUACGAUUUGGUAAAGAAACUUUCUAGACAGUUGGCUUAGGUUUGAUUUUUUAUAAUUAUUCAAAAUUUCUUGUUUAAAUAUUACAACUUUUUAAUGAUUUUUAAAAAGGUUAUUAAGUAAUAAAUUAUUUAAAAAGAUAAAUUAGCAUGUAAAAUUAUUAUGAAUUGGAUUUUUAAUAAUAAAAAAACUAUGAAAAGUUUAAGAGGAAACAAUAUUUCAAAAAUAAUUCUUAAAAGACAGCUUUAAAGAAUAAUUUUUUUAUCAUGACUAAAAUUUAUUGGAGAAUUUAAAUAUAAAUAAUAGUUUAGAUUUGUUUGAAAAACCCUUUAGAAAACAAUUUUGAAAAACUAUCUUGUUGAAAGCAAUUUUUGAAAAUAUUUUCUAAUAUUUUUUAGAACAAAAAUCCACUUAAGAAUUAAAAAAAAAAAAUUAUUUUUUAUUUUUUUUAUUUUUUAUGUUUGAAAACUAAUUUUAUUUUUAAUCUUUCUUAAUAUGCAUAUUAAGUAAUUUUCUAUUUAAUUUAUCGGAGAAAUGAUAAUUACCGUGAUAAAAGAAUAAAACUUCAGUUUGGUAGGGCAUAUAGAUUUCAAAUGCCCAAUAUCAAUGAACUUUGCUUUGCUUGUGCAUGCGGCUCUAUGGCAGAAAGGGGAGAGGAGCGAGUGGAAUACAUCCCGG
Molecule: long non-coding RNA, 4732 nt
Filed under: Vitis vinifera (wine grape)
Lineage: Eukaryota; Viridiplantae; Streptophyta; Magnoliopsida; Vitales; Vitaceae
Description: long non-coding RNA (VVIN_LNC001771)
Source: RNAcentral